Long non-coding RNA from Haliotis rufescens (red abalone), 365 nucleotides. RefSeq lists it as uncharacterized. The record is from RefSeq and is a predicted model, not a curated record. The transcript is spliced from 2 exons. Lineage: Eukaryota; Metazoa; Mollusca; Gastropoda; Lepetellida; Haliotidae.
CUCUCUCUACCUCUCCCCCCGAUACCCCAAUCUCUCUACUCAGGAUCAUUCUAAAUGUCUACAUGAUUCCAACUCCAGACGAGACGACAGUGGCGGUAACACGACCAACAAGGGCAUUUACUGGGGCUACAGUACGUCACACGCUGCCGGCGACCUGUGUCGACAAGUGGAGCAACUGUGACUCCUACCCUCACUCGUGUGCGCCAGUGUACAAAGACUGGGCGUCCGCCAACUGUGCCCGCUUCUGCAACUUGUGUUGAGCGUCUUGGAAUCUGUACCGAGAAGAUGAGGGACGCAUGGAGUCUGCACUGCGAGAUUUUGUUGCUGUAUUACACAUAUUAAAUGACAAUGUCAGAUGACAUCAA